GACGAACGCUGGCGGCGUGCCUAAUACAUGCAAGUUGAGCGCUGAAGGUUGGUACUUGUACCAACUGGAUGAGCAGCGAACGGGUGAGUAACGCGUGGGGAAUCUGCCUUUGAGCGGGGGACAACAUUUGGAAACGAAUGCUAAUACCGCAUAAAAACUUUAAACACAAGUUUUAAGUUUGAAAGAUGCAAUUGCAUCACUCAAAGAUGAUCCCGCGUUGUAUUAGCUAGUUGGUGAGGUAAAGGCUCACCAAGGCGAUGAUACAUAGCCGACCUGAGAGGGUGAUCGGCCACAUUGGGACUGAUACACGGCCCAAACUCCUACGGGAGGCAGCAGUAGGGAAUCUUCGGCAAUGGACGAAAGUCUGACCGAGCAACGCCGCGUGAGUGAAGAAGGUUUUCGGAUCGUAAAACUCUGUUGGUAGAGAAGAACGUUUGUGAGAGUGGAAAGCUCAUCAAGUGACGGUAACUACCCAGAAAGGGACGGCUAGCUACGUG
RNAcentral lists this ribosomal RNA (497 nucleotides) under uncultured bacterium. RNAcentral describes it as "partial 16S ribosomal RNA". It matches the Rfam family "Bacterial small subunit ribosomal RNA", at positions 28 to 507 of the family's 1533-position model. The record is from RNAcentral.